Long non-coding RNA from Aedes aegypti (yellow fever mosquito), 696 nucleotides. RefSeq lists it as uncharacterized. The transcript is spliced from 2 exons. NCBI's taxonomy places the organism in Eukaryota, Metazoa, Arthropoda, Insecta, Diptera, Culicidae. The record is from RefSeq and is a predicted model, not a curated record.
UCGAAUGCAAUGUGACAUCUGAAAAUAAAAGUAAAAAAACACAAAGAGUAUCAAACCAAAUAUGAGCUCUCAUUUAAAGUUCUUUUGUAGGUAACAUAGUAAAAUCAAGAGCAUACUUCACGAUCUAUUGGCAAAAAGGGCACCCUCAAUUGGCUUUGUCAAACUAAUGUUUUGGAUUCCUUAAAUUGAAGAAGUUGCAUCGGACAGAGAUAAUCGGAAUAACUAGAAUGUUGGCAAAUUUCACCGAGAAGCGAUUGCGAAAGAUGAAUGCCAAAAAACGACCCGAUCAAGUGAAUACUGUUUGAUUCAUUCCAUUGGUGCAACAAUAAAACAAAUUUGUUUCAACUCCGUUAGUCUUAAAGCGUUUUAUCUUGUUUUUCGAAUUUUAUCCAGGCAUAAAAGGAGCUGCAACAACGCUUUUAAUGAAUGAAUUGAAACUAUCUCUAAAUCUACACAGAAAACUUAAUUAUAAGACAAUUGAAUUGUAGCUAUUUCUGCUUAGCAGAAUGCGUUGUAUAUUUCCAUAUUGCUUGCUUGUUUUGUGAUGACCGACCAUCGUAUUGGCCGCAUGACGACAAUCAAUUGGUUUUGCUAUCAACCGUUCGGGGAUUGAUGAAAUCCCACACUACGGCUUUUAGUGUUGGCAACCGUAUUCCCGCAAUCUCUAUCGGCAAAAAAAAAAAAAAAAAAAAAAAA